This is a non-coding RNA of Cinara cedri, 288 nucleotides long. Lineage: Eukaryota; Metazoa; Arthropoda; Insecta; Hemiptera; Aphididae. The record is from the annotation of a GenBank genome assembly.
GUGAAAAAAGAGAACGCCGUUUUGUCGAGUCGACUGGCUAUGUAUUUUAUGGUACGUCUGGACGGUUUCGGGGGUCGUUUAACACGUGAGAGCGUUUUUCGUAUGGCGGUUGACGACGCGCUGCACUGGCGAAAAGGCUUGCCAGUUUUAUUGUACGGCGACAGUUGUUUUUCGGAGCAAUAAAACAACUCGUUAACGUUACCGACCGAACACGGUAUAUGUACCUGUAGAAUAUAUCUAACCUAUUGUACAUAAAAUUUAAAUCGAAAUCACUGGAUGGCGUGUAUA